UUUGUUGAGACAUUUCGAAGCAUCCCAGAUUCCUAUAUCUUCGAGCAGUUAUGGACACCAUGUCGGCCGAGCGACGAAAAGUGCUACAAAAGUGCUGGAAUAUUACCUCACCUUGUCUCCCGCAGGCAACAAUGUCUAUAGUUCCAGCUAUAAUUCUACAAGAUAAUUUGAACAGAGCGAUCACUGUAGCUUUGCUUUCUCUCUUUCUAGCUAAGCUGUCACUUAAAACACGAAAGCGAGUGCUACAUUUAAAAACAAAACAUUGAAGCAGUGGUUGAAUGGUUACAACAGCAAAAGCUGUUGCGGCACAAAUUUCAUGCACCAAACCCGUCCUGGAGAACAUGCAGCUGGAACACCAGUGAUUGAAGAAUGAUUAGCGAGGAUGUGAAUAAGAUGAAACGAUUAAUUACGAUAUAUUACGGCUAAACUGAGGAGGAUAAAUAGAAUGCUGUUGCUGCCGCUCUUUCUCCCUCAUUAUAACGUAUGAAAAUCCCGGCCGGUGAUGUUAACGAAUUGAAUGAGGAGGAUGCUUCGAAUGAUGAUGGUAUUACCAGAGUUAAAUGAUCAGCUUAUCGUCUUAUCGUCUUAUGCGUAUAAUAAAAUGAUUAUAAAGAA
Long non-coding RNA from Toxorhynchites rutilus septentrionalis, 615 nucleotides. RefSeq lists it as uncharacterized. The record is from RefSeq and is a predicted model, not a curated record. The transcript has 3 exons. Lineage: Eukaryota; Metazoa; Arthropoda; Insecta; Diptera; Culicidae.